Molecule: ribosomal RNA, 305 nt
Filed under: uncultured bacterium
Lineage: Bacteria
Description: bacterial SSU rRNA
Rfam family: Bacterial small subunit ribosomal RNA
Source: RNAcentral
UUUCCUACGGGACGCAGCAGUGGGGAAUAUUGGGCAAUGGGCGCAAGCCUGACCCAGCAACGCCGCGUGAAGGAAGAAGGCUUUCGGGUUGUAAACUUCUUUUCUCAGGGACGAAGCAAGUGACGGUACCUGAGGAAUAAGCCACGGCUAACUACGUGCCAGCAGCCGCGGCAAUACGUCGGUGGCAAGCGUUAUCCGGAUUUAUUGGGUUUAAAGGGUGCGUAGGCGGAAGGUUAAGUCAGCGGUCAAAUGUCGGUGCUCAACACCGGCCUGCCGUUGAAACUGGUCUUCUUGAGUGAGCGGGA